UAGGGAACUGAAAGGACCGACCCUUCGGGGAGCCUAUACAGGUGUUGCAUGGCUGUCGUCAGCUCGUGUCGUGAGAUGUUCGGUUAAGUCCGCUAACGAGCGCAACCCUCGUCGUAUGUUAUAUGUGUCAUACGAGACUGCCGGUAAAAAGCCGGAGGAAGGUGAGGAUGAUGUCAAGUCAGCAUGACCUUUAUAUCCAGGGCUACACACACGCUACAAUGGUCUGUACAAUGGGUAGCCAAGCCGCGAGGCGGAGCCAAUCCUGAAAGCAGGCCUCAGUUCAGAUUGCAGUCUGCAACUCGACUGCAUGAAGCCGGAGUUGCUAGUAACCGCAGGUCAGCAAUACUGCGGUGAAUACGUUCCCGGGUCUU
Molecule: ribosomal RNA, 371 nt
Filed under: uncultured Anaerolineaceae bacterium
Lineage: Bacteria; Bacillati; Chloroflexota; Anaerolineae; Anaerolineales; Anaerolineaceae
Description: bacterial SSU rRNA
Rfam family: Bacterial small subunit ribosomal RNA
Source: RNAcentral